UACGUAGGGUGCAAGCGUUAAUCGGAAUUACUGGGCGUAAAGGGUGUGUAGGCGGUUCUUUAAGUUUGGUGUGAAAUCUCCCGGCUCAACUGGGAGGGUGCGCCGAAUACUGAGGGACUAGAGUACGGGAGAGGAAAGUGGAAUUCCUGGUGUAGCGGUGAAAUGCGUAGAUAUCAGGAGGAACACCGGUGGUGUAGACGGCUUUCUGGACCGACACUGACGCUGAGACACGAAAGCGUGGGUAGCAAACAGG
This 253-nucleotide ribosomal RNA is filed under the name uncultured bacterium. RNAcentral's name for it is "partial 16S ribosomal RNA". It matches the Rfam family "Bacterial small subunit ribosomal RNA", at positions 524 to 776 of the family's 1533-position model. The record is from RNAcentral.